This 367-nucleotide ribosomal RNA is filed under the name uncultured bacterium. Its description in RNAcentral is "bacterial SSU rRNA". It matches the Rfam family "Bacterial small subunit ribosomal RNA", at positions 28 to 396 of the family's 1533-position model. The record is from RNAcentral.
GACGAACGCUGGCGGCGUGCUUAACACAUGCAAGUCGAGCGGUAAGGCCCUUUCGGGGUACACGAGCGGCGAACGGGUGAGUAACACGUGGGUGACCUGCCCUCAGCUCUGGGAUAAGCCUGGGAAACCGGGUACUAAUACCGGAUAUGACUCCAUGACGCAUGUUGUGGGGUGGAAAGCCUUGUGCGGCUGAGGAUGGGCCCGCGGCCUAUCAGCUUGUUGGUGGGGUGAUGGCCUACCAAGGCGACGACGGGUAGCCGGCCUGAGAGGGCGACCGGCCACACUGGGACUGAGACACGGCCCAGACUCCUACGGGAGGCAGCAGUGGGGAAUCUUGCGCAAUGGGCGAAAGCCUGACGCAGCGACG